UACGGAGGAGGCAAGCGUUAUCCGGAAUUAUUGGGCGUAAAGCGUCCGUAGGUGGUUUAGUAAGUCUGCUGUUAAAGCGCGGGGCUUAACUCCGUAUCGGCAGUGGAAACUACUAGACUAGAGUGUGGUAGGGGUAGAGGGAAUUCCCAGUGUAGCGGUGAAAUGCGUAGAUAUUGGGAAGAACACCGAUGGCGAAGGCGCUCUACUGGGCCAUAACUGACACUGAGGGACGAAAGCUAGGGGAGCGAAUGGG
This 253-nucleotide ribosomal RNA is filed under the name uncultured bacterium. RNAcentral describes it as "partial 16S ribosomal RNA". It matches the Rfam family "Bacterial small subunit ribosomal RNA", at positions 524 to 776 of the family's 1533-position model. The record is from RNAcentral.